UACAUAGGGGGCGAGCGUUAUCUGGAAUUAUUGGGCGUAAAGGGUACGUAGGCGGGCUUGCAAGUCUGAUUUGAAAGCACAUGGCUUAACCAUGUGAGGUAAUUAGAAACUACGAGUCUAGAGAGUGGUAGAGGUAAAUGGAAUUCCAAGUGGAGCGGUGAAAUGCGUAGAGAUUUGGAGGAACACCAGUGGCGAAGGCGGUUUACUGGGCCACAUCUGACGCUGAUGUACGAAAGCGUGGGGAGCAAACAGGAUUAGAUACCCUGGUA
Molecule: ribosomal RNA, 269 nt
Filed under: uncultured prokaryote
Description: partial 16S ribosomal RNA
Rfam family: Bacterial small subunit ribosomal RNA
Source: RNAcentral